AUACCUAGAUAAAAGUGAAUAUCAUAAGUAAUUUAUGAUUGGGACGUAUAGCGAAACGAAAAGCUGUUCUUAUUGUCGUAAUACAAGUGAGAACAGAUCUCCUUAGAGGAAACUCUGUAUAUUUAAUAAAACCUAGUGAAUUGAAACAUCUCAGUAACUAGAGGAAUAGAAAUCAACCGAGACUCCGUUAGUAGUGGUGAACGAACGCGGAUUAGGCCAAUUAAUAGAAUAAAAAAAUUAGAAAAUAAAUAAGUAAGUUGAAAUACCACGCCAAAGAAGGUUAUAGCCCUGUAUUAUUAUUCAUAAUUUUUCUACAUUAGGUUGUAGAACUAUUAAUUUAAUGAGUAGAACGAGACUUAACUUGUUUGAAGAUAGGGGGACCACCCUCUAAGCCUAAGUACGCACUUUUGAUCGAUAGUGAACUAGUACCGUGAGGGAAAGGUGAAAGAGAAGUGAAAUAAAUAUUGAAACUGGAUGUAUACAAGCACUCAGCGCUUUAUAUAAUUUUUUAUAUAGAGUAAUGGGGUACCUUUUGUAUAAUGGGUCAACGAGUAAAUAAUGGAAGCUAGCUUAAGCUGUUAAGUGGAGGCGGAGUAAACACGAACAUGAGUUUCUUUUAUUUGACCCGAAACCAAGUGAUCUAGUCAUGAGCAGGUUGAAAAAAUGUUAACACGUUUUGGAGGACCGAACUCACACAUGUGGCAAUAUGUGGAGAUGACUUGUGACUAGGGGUGAAAAGCCAAUCGAACUUGGAGAUAGCUGGUUUUCUGCGAAAUCUAUUUAGGUAGAGUCUAGAACAAAUUGAUAGAUAAAAAGGGGGUAGAGCACUCGUUGGGUAAGGGUGGCCCAAAGCCUUACUAAAUCCAGGGAAACUCCUAAUACCUUUUUAUAAUUUUCUAGAAACAGACUUUGAGUGCUAAGGUUCAAAGUCAAGAGGGAAACAGCCCAGACUGAACGCUAAGGUUCCAAAGCAUAUAUUUAGUGGUAAAGGAGGUUAUUAAGCUUAGACAACCAGCAAGUAGGCUUAGAAGCAGCCAUCUUAUAAUGAAAGCGUAGUAGCUCACUGGUCUAUUUUUUUUAUUAAAAAGGGCUUAAUUGCGCCGAAAAUGUAACGGAGCUAAAAUAUAUCACCGAAGCGGCAGCUAUACUAACUAAAGUCAUAAAACUCAAUUCUUAGUAUAGGGUAGCAGAACGUUCUGUAAGUAUAUUAUGGUGUAUUCGUGAGAGUGCACUUUUAUAUCAGAAGUGAGAAUGUUGACAUGAGUAACGUAAAAUCAUGUGUAAUUCAUGAUCGCCGAAAAAUUCAGUGUUUUCUACAUACUGGAAUUCAGUGUAGAGUUAAUCGGCCCCUAAGUAUGUAAGCGAUUGCUUUAAUAUAAUGGGUACAAGUUUAAAAUUUCUUGAUUAAGUUUCUAUGACGGAUAGUACCUAAUUUAGGAGAUAAAUGGAUUUCUUUUAAAUUAUAACUAUUCCAGGAAAAAAAGAGACUAUUUACAAUUUAUUGUAUAAUACCGUACUGACCGACACUGGAGAAUAAAUAGAGUAUAUUAAGGCGUAGAGAGAAUCAUAUUAAAGGAACUCGACAAAAUGCCUCCGUAACUUCGGGAUAAGGAGGAGCAGUGCUAUUGUUAUAAAUUUAAUUUAUAUUAAUAUUACUGCUGGCACAGAAUAGGAAGCAGCGACUGUUUAUUAAAAACACAGGACUCUGCUAAGCGGUAACGCGACGUAUAGGGUCUGACACCUGCCCGGUGCUGGAAACUUAAGUGGAAAGGUUUGUUGCUAUUUUUUUAAAAUAAAUUCAAGCUUCGAAAUUAAAGCCCAGUAAACGGCGGCUGUAACUCUAACAGUCCUAAGGUAAGUUCCGACCUGCAUGAAUGGUGUAACGACUGCUUCGUUGUCUCUAAUAUGAUCUCAGUGAAAUUGAAUUCUCCGUGAAGAUGCGGAGUUCCCAAAAAUAGACGGAAAGACCCUAUGCAUCUUUACUGCAGCUUUACAUUGAAAAAGGGUAUUGAAUGUAGAGGAUAGGUGGGAGUUUAUAUAUUUAUUUAUAUAAACAACCUUGGAAUACCACCCUUUCUUUAUCGUUUUUCUAACUUAAAUUAUAAGGACACUGUAUAGUGGGUAGUUUGACUGGGGCGGUCGUUUUCUAAAACGUAACGAAAACGUGCGAAGGUAAGCUCAAGCUGGAAGGAAAUCAGCUGUAGAGCAUAAUGGUAUAAGCUUGCCUGACUGUGAGACCUAAAAGUCAAACAGAGACGAAAGUCGGCCAUAGUGACCCGGGAGUACUUCGUGGAAAGGCUCUCGCUCAACUGAUCAAAGAUACGCUAGGGAUAACAGGCUGAUGACUCCCAAGAGCUCUUAUCGACGGAGUCGUUUGGCACCUUGACGAUGUCGACUCAACUUAUCCUCGAGCUGUAGAAGGUUCGAAGGGUUCGGCUGUUCGCCGAUUAAAAAGUUACGUGGUUGGGUUUAAUACGUCGUAAGACAGUAUGUAUCCUAUCUUUUUUGGGUGGUUAAAGAAUUGACAGGAGGAUUUCUUUGUACGAGAGGACCGGAAAUCGCGAACCUCUGGUGUAUCAGUUGUUAUGCCCAUAGCAGCGCUGAGUAGCUAAGUUCGUAAUAGAUAACCGCUGAAAGCAUCUCAAGCGGGAAACUAGCCUGAAAACAAGUUCUUAAAAAAUCGUAGAAGAAUACUACGUUGAUAGGUGGAAAGUGUAUAAAUAGCAAUAUUAGAGCUAAUCCA
RNAcentral lists this ribosomal RNA (2743 nucleotides) under Prototheca wickerhamii. Its description in RNAcentral is "23S large subunit ribosomal RNA". It matches the Rfam family "Bacterial large subunit ribosomal RNA". The record is from RNAcentral. Lineage: Eukaryota; Viridiplantae; Chlorophyta; Trebouxiophyceae; Chlorellales; Chlorellaceae.